RNAcentral lists this ribosomal RNA (602 nucleotides) under Escherichia coli. RNAcentral describes it as "partial 23S ribosomal RNA". It matches the Rfam family "Bacterial large subunit ribosomal RNA", at positions 2329 to 2925 of the family's 2925-position model. Lineage: Bacteria; Pseudomonadati; Pseudomonadota; Gammaproteobacteria; Enterobacterales; Enterobacteriaceae. RNAcentral also lists the same sequence under 1 other name. The record is from RNAcentral.
GGUCGGACAUCAGGAGGUUAGUGCAAUGGCAUAAGCCAGCUUGACUGCGAGCGUGACGGCGCGAGCAGGUGCGAAAGCAGGUCAUAGUGAUCCGGUGGUUCUGAAUGGAAGGGCCAUCGCUCAACGGAUAAAAGGUACUCCGGGGAUAACAGGCUGAUACCGCCCAAGAGUUCAUAUCGACGGCGGUGUUUGGCACCUCGAUGUCGGCUCAUCACAUCCUGGGGCUGAAGUAGGUCCCAAGGGUAUGGCUGUUCGCCAUUUAAAGUGGUACGCGAGCUGGGUUUAGAACGUCGUGAGACAGUUCGGUCCCUAUCUGCCGUGGGCGCUGGAGAACUGAGGGGGGCUGCUCCUAGUACGAGAGGACCGGAGUGGACGCAUCACUGGUGUUCGGGUUGUCAUGCCAAUGGCACUGCCCGGUAGCUAAAUGCGGAAGAGAUAAGUGCUGAAAGCAUCUAAGCACGAAACUUGCCCCGAGAUGAGUUCUCCCUGAGACUUAGAGUCUCCUGAAGGAACGUUGAAGACGACGACGUUGAUAGGCCGGGUGUGUAAGCGCAGCGAUGCGUUGAGCUAACCGGUACUAAUGAACCGUGAGGCUUAACCUU